This is a long non-coding RNA of Gavialis gangeticus (Gharial), 393 nucleotides long. RefSeq lists it as uncharacterized. Lineage: Eukaryota; Metazoa; Chordata; Crocodylia; Gavialidae. The record is from RefSeq and is a predicted model, not a curated record. The transcript is spliced from 3 exons.
CCAUAAUUUCUGAAAGAAGAAUUUGGCACUUCUCACACUAGAACUUGUCUUUGUGUACACUGCUGCAGCUCCAUUGAAGUCAACGCUGAAUAACACAACUUGAGAAGCUUGCCUGGUUUCUUCUAUGCUAGCAAGUUCCAUUCAUUGCUUUGGUCUUCGAACUACCUUUUCCCAGAACAUGCUUUGCUGUUUCAAGCCAGCACAGCAAACACAAGUGACUGCCCAAUAACUGCUACAGUGGGGAACAGCAGCACAACAACUUACCUUGCCCCUGGCCCCCUGCAACCAUAGAGCCCAGAACUAUCUGCAUUCAGGCUCCUGACCACCAUAGAGAUGAUGACAAAAAGUAUUAAGUAUAGAACAAACCCAACUUGAACCUAACCCAUCACAGUA